Long non-coding RNA from Pogoniulus pusillus (Red-fronted tinkerbird), 133 nucleotides. RefSeq lists it as uncharacterized. NCBI's taxonomy places the organism in Eukaryota, Metazoa, Chordata, Aves, Piciformes, Lybiidae. The record is from RefSeq and is a predicted model, not a curated record. The transcript has 3 exons.
AGACUGAAAGAGCUGGGGCUGUUCAGUCUGCAGAAGAGGAGGCUCCCAGGUUGAGCUUCUUAAAUGCCACUGCAGGGCCGAUGUAUCUGCUGGAGGAGAGAAAUAUAGCCUUGUAAAGAGAUUUUAACUGUGC